Bufo bufo (common toad) is the source of this 243-nucleotide long non-coding RNA. RefSeq lists it as uncharacterized. The transcript has 3 exons. Lineage: Eukaryota; Metazoa; Chordata; Amphibia; Anura; Bufonidae. The record is from RefSeq and is a predicted model, not a curated record.
AGCAGACCAGUCCAGCACCCUGCACCAGCGGUCCAGCGCCCAGCCCAGAGCCAGAGUAUUUCAUUGCUUGGAGCAGUGCGUCGCCAGAACUUGAAGAGGAGAAGAGCACGUCAGUGAAGACUGCAGUCCAGUGAGAAAGAUCCCAACAAGGAUUGAUUUGUUGUUGCACUUCUACGUGUUUACCAUAGAAAUACAUGUGUGCAUGACAUAGAUGGUUCUCUCCUGGUUCUUUUGGUUUCAGGU